This 608-nucleotide long non-coding RNA is filed under the name Mytilus galloprovincialis (Mediterranean mussel). Lineage: Eukaryota; Metazoa; Mollusca; Bivalvia; Mytilida; Mytilidae. The record is from RNAcentral.
CUCUUUCAUAUUCAUUUGAUAAAAUUUACUGUUUGCAAUAGCAUGAAUUGUUCUAUAUAGUAAGAAUGUUCUUAUCCCGGGCAUAAAAACAAUGCCGUAUUUUGCGAAACCUUUUCAACUUUUGAUCUUCAGUGCUGUACAACUUUGUACUUUUUUCACUUUCGAUCUUUUAUAUCUGGGCGUCACUGGUGAGUCUUGUGUGGGCAAGGCGCGUUUUUGGCGUAUUGAAUUUUAAACCUGAUACUUUUUGUUAUCUAUUAAUCAUGUUUUUCUGUGUCUAAUAUGUUCUCCUAUUUAUUUGUAUUGUAGUCCUGUAAUAUUAUGUUGUCAUUUCAAUGUUAUAUUUAACUUUGCCAUUAAAGUGCGAGGUUUGGCAUGCCUUAAAACCAGGUUCAACCCACCACUUUUAUUCCCCUUUAAAAGUGUCCUGUACCAAGUCAGGAAGAUGGUCAUUGUUAUAUAUUGUUCGUUUCUCUUUGUGUUGCUUUUUAACGUUGAGUCGUUUGUGUUUUCUCUUAUUUUUGAGAUAUUGAGAUAAGACGUGGCACGGUACUUGUCUAUCCCAAAUUCAUGUAUUUGGUUUUCAUGUUACAUUUGUUAUUCUCGUG